AAAAAGAUUUACGGAAAUUUGGUUUCCUUGUUCGUACUAUUACUAAAAUAUGAUAAACAUUAAGUUCCUAUAAAAAGGUCUACGUAAAGUACUGCUGAAGGAUAACUUCGAAAAGUUCUCUCAACAGGAAACGAUCUUUGAAAUUGUCAUCGAAAAAUAUUUCACUUUGGAAAUAUUCUCUAUUAGAAGCACUUCUGAUGGAAUAUGGAGGCAUAGUAACAGAUCGAAUUACAGAACUGGAAUUUGUAAAAAAAAUACUUCUAGUCCACUGGUCACUGCUCUUGUCGUGCCUGGUAUGGGAUAUUACAACGGCUGCAUUUUGGUAAAUGACAAGACAGCAAAUCGUUUGGCGAAGACUACGUCUGUUUGCGCUUUUCUAGUAGAGAUGUAACUGCUUUCACCCGUCCUACGGAUUUUGAAGAGGAAUUACCAGCCGAAGUUCCGCUUAUUGGAUGCUUACCUACGGAAAAACUUGCAAAAAGCACAGAUCAUUCGUUUGCUAAAACGAUUGUUAGGCACCUGGCACUGAUUACUAGCGGCGGUUCAGCGUAUAUUUAUUUAACCAAAUUACAAACGUUAAGAUCGUAUGUUCAGGUCCAAAAAUUUAGCUGUUGUUACAAUUUAAGCGAGGACAACCAGACAUGCACAGUUUCACGAUCUUGAAGAAAUGCUACCAGAUAAAACGGAACCAUUAGUCGAAAGCGAUUUUCCUAAAAUAAUGCAUGACAUUCGGAAAAACGCUGACCCCGAACGCUUUACCCAUUGUAAAUAGGCAACUACAACUUCUUUCUUUCGGUUUGACGUGCCAGUACCUCAUAUUCGCAACAAAACGUGAACUCCGCUCUGAGCAAGCUCUUCCAGUGAUUUCGGACCGACGCAGCCACGACAAAACUUCCGCAAUAAGACGUUCUAGCUCCCAAGUUUCUGUCAGCUGGAAGAUUAUUCCGAUGCCUCGCAACUCCCGGCCGGAAAUAAGCAGAGAAGAAAGCGAAAAAAGAAAGAAAUAAUUAAAGGUUCUGGUUAGAUUUUACGGGCGCCUUACGACCUGAAAAUUCUGCAGCGAAAAAAAAACGCUUUAUACUACGCGUACGGGCAUAGUAUUCUCGUAGUAUGGAGAGAGAUCUACCUCUGUCUCCUUCGUUUAAUACGAAAUCCCGAUUGUAUAUAGCAUAGUUGAUGAAACUAUGUGCAAAGACACAAGUACUGAUGAAAUAGUAGCACUUGUUAAUGGCUUUCAUUAACCGUAGCCUUGAUACGGCUCAUUAUUGAUCAGAAUUACAAUUCAAAAAAUUUUCUAAAUAUUUGUCAAAUUAAGCUUUUAAAAUUUGUGAGAAAGUGAACGUGGGUUGGGUUGAAUGUUGUCAGCAGGCGUUAGCGAUGAUCCGAUGGUGAAUGUUAAAGCACAUCAAAUCAAUGUCAAUUCCAGAAAAGCUUCUGGUUUUACGCUGUGACAACUUGUAAAGCAGGUGAUGUGAUCUUAAGCUUCCGCGGAAAUACGAUAUAUGAAAGAUAUGCAUUUAGUAACCUUAUUCUAAUAUUGUUCAGAAUGAUAUUUAAAAAAAAAAGUAUCUAAGACGACCUACGAGUUUUGGUCGUGUAUCAAAAUUUAUAUAAACCGAAAACCACGUUCCAUUUUCGGUGGAAACAAUGUUCAUGCUUUAUACCAUUGCGGAAACGAUUUAAAAUAGACUUUUUUCGAUGCUAUGGUAUGUAAAGAGCUAUUGAACUCGUCAGCAGGAUACGAAAAACAUGUAUGUUUGCGCAAAAUGGAUAUUGUAUGAACGGCAGUUGGAGCAGGAACUUCCCGCCAAAGAAAAAAAAAGUGUAUAUAGUUUCAAAUCAGUAAGCGAGUAAUUGUGUUGCGAUUGUGCUAAAUUGCUCGUUACGCCCUUCAAUUAUUUAACAGCCCCAGCCAAAGCGUUGUAAAUUACUCUCAAUUUUCUUGUGCUCCCAAUUCCUAAUGACAAGAGUGUUUGGGGUUCUUUAUUGCGAAAAAUUUACAAAAAUAUACAAAAUAUGCACACAUGCACACAUAUGCACGUAUAUAUAUGUGAGCGUAUGUACGCUCAAUGACAAGAUUGUAUUUGUAUCGAACAAUUGAAAACUCUUCCCUAAGUAUUUAUCGCUAAUAGAUAUUUUCUGAAAUAAAGUAAUAAUCUAUACACGUAUAAAUUGAAUGACUCUUUUAGUUUUAAUACCCAUUUUGAUUGUCAUGUGUUUAUAGCUUUUGUAAUAAUGACCAUACAUACCAACAUGUGAACGACCAUACGAUUGAUAUUCAUUUCGUUUGUUUUUGGUGCUUUGGUGCGACAAUCUUCCUUCGCAUAGAUUAUAUACCCAUCAUACACCAUAAAUUCAUCGUGUAACUACGCUGAUUUCAAAGGCGUGGUUAUUGGUUUGUCCAAAGGAAUCAAUGCACCAUUCUUUCAUAUCUGGCAUGGCUCGGCCACGAAAGAAGGCUAAACCUUUGGUAAUUUUGCAGCAUAUUUAGCAGUGGUGAAUACCUCUCCACCUAUAAAGUCACCUUUGAGAGUAAUAUCAAACCAGUAGAAUUUUGCUUACUACUGCAGUAAUAUUUCGCAGGCUUAGAUACUAUGGGGCGAGAUACCUGCAUAAAACGGGAGUCAUGCCAUAGCAAAUGACGAGUGGAUAGUUGUUAAAAAAGUUUAAAGUAGCAACUUUCAGCUUGACGGGAUCUUUUGUACAUAUCCAUCAUGAGUAUUUUGAACAUAUUUCUGUCCGUCUGUGUCACGUCUUCUGUAAGCAUUCUUCGGGAUGCGAGGAUGAAGCUACCGAAAAAAACGUUGGAAGUUCUUCACCAUCGAUUAGUAUUGAAAAUGGGACUAACCGGUCGAAGCAGGUGCAGUAUCCUAGAAGCUGAAUAUGUGCCUGUUCUUAAAAGCAUAAGAAAUAGUUUUUUGAUAAAUACUCAUAAAGUCCAAAAAGCAACUACGCCCACACAAUAUUAUAGUUUUAAGGAGCAAAUUUCGCAGACUUCAUAAAGUAAAUACAUUCUUAACCGGUUUCAAAUUCGAAAAUUCCUUAACCAAGUCCCUGUGUUCUUACUCUUACUGAUUUAUUUUUAGAGUCUUAGAUGUGGGCACUGACUUGGUGUAAAUGGUUUUCGAUUUCGCCCGUUUUUUUUCUUCGCUUGAGAUAAACGAACUGAAGGAUCAGCGACCUAACUACGAUGCCUUUUUUUCUAUAUAUUUUUAAGGUUUUCCUCCUGGCAUUUCAAAUGAAUGCAAGUGAAUGGGAAUCGUUGGGAACUUUCACCCAUCAUAAUUUAUAUAUUCUUCACUGAUCAGAGUUGAUUUAUUUUUCCCUCUUAGCAUAAAAAUCAGAGUUAACGUUAAUAGAUCGACUGGUUUGUCGUCGCUCUUGAAACUCUCACAAUCGUAAAUAAUUGCAAUCUAAAGCACGAAUUUUAAUUUACUGUUAGUUUCGGUAAAAGUGGAAGCAAUCGAAAACUUUGACGGUUAUAAUAUGAUAGCAUGAUAAAGGAACAGAAAUUUAGAAAAAUUUGAAUUUAAAAUGGUGCUAAACGCAAUUAUUUCUAUAAUAUACUUAUAAACAUAUAGUGCAUACAUAGGAAAAUGGUUAAAAAAACUUUAUUUCAAUUUUUUUAUCUUUGUUUUAUUUGAUUUGUUGUAGCAAAACCAUUUAGAAAUACUCAUCUCCUAAAUUGCGAUAUAAAAAUUUUCUCCCAAAAUCAAAUCGGAAAUGACUGUUUACAUAUUUUCACAUAAGUGCAUGUGCGUGCAUAUGUGCAUUUUUCAUAUAUAUUGUAAAUAUCUUGCGAUAAAAAAACUCGGAUGUUUAUCGUUACUAAACUAUAACAAUUAAGGAUGCUUAAUACAGUUGAAAAAUAAUCAUUGAGAUUUAUUUUUAUUAAUCACUC
This is a long non-coding RNA of Glossina fuscipes, 3901 nucleotides long. RefSeq lists it as uncharacterized. The transcript has 4 exons. Lineage: Eukaryota; Metazoa; Arthropoda; Insecta; Diptera; Glossinidae. The record is from RefSeq and is a predicted model, not a curated record.